AGUGAACGCUGGCGGUAGGCCUAACACAUGCAAGUCGAACGGCAGCACAGUAAGAGCUUGCUCUUACGGGUGGCGAGUGGCGGACGGGUGAGGAAUACAUCGGAAUCUACUUUUUCGUGGGGGAUAACGUAGGGAAACUUACGCUAAUACCGCAUACGACCUACGGGUGAAAGCAGGGAUCUUCGGACCUUGCGCGAUUGAAUGAGCCGAUGUCGGAUUAGCCAGUUGGCGGGGUAAAGGCCCACCAAGGCGACGAUCCGUAGCUGGUCUGAGAGGAUGAUCAGCCACACUGGAACUGAGACACGGUCCAGACUCCUACGGGAGGCAGCAGUGGGGAAUAUUGGACAAUGGGCGCAAGCCUGAUCCAGCCAUACCGCGUGGGUGAAGAAGGCCUUCGGGUUGUAAAGCCCUUUUGUUGGGAAAGAAAAGCAGCAGGUUAAUACCCCGCUGUUCUGACGGUACCCAAAGAAUAAGCACCGGCUAACUUCGUG
This 491-nucleotide ribosomal RNA is filed under the name uncultured bacterium. RNAcentral's name for it is "partial 16S ribosomal RNA". It matches the Rfam family "Bacterial small subunit ribosomal RNA", at positions 29 to 507 of the family's 1533-position model. The record is from RNAcentral.